This 253-nucleotide ribosomal RNA is filed under the name uncultured bacterium. RNAcentral describes it as "partial 16S ribosomal RNA". It matches the Rfam family "Bacterial small subunit ribosomal RNA", at positions 524 to 776 of the family's 1533-position model. The record is from RNAcentral.
UACAGAGGUCUCAAGCGUUGUUCGGAUUCAUUGGGCGUAAAGGGUGCGUAGGUGGCGUGGUAAGUCGGGUGUGAAAUUUCGGAGCUUAACUCCGAAACUGCAUUCGAUACUGCCGUGCUUGAGGACUGGAGAGGAGACUGGAAUUUACGGUGUAGCGGUGAAAUGCGUAGAUAUCGUAAGGAAGACCAGUGGCGAAGGCGGGUCUCUGGACAGUUCCUGACGCUGAGGCACGAAGGCCAGGGGAGCAAACGGG